RNAcentral lists this ribosomal RNA (253 nucleotides) under uncultured prokaryote. RNAcentral's name for it is "partial 16S ribosomal RNA". It matches the Rfam family "Bacterial small subunit ribosomal RNA", at positions 525 to 777 of the family's 1533-position model. The record is from RNAcentral.
ACGUAGGUGGCGAGCGUUGUCCGGAUUUACUGGGCGUAAAGCGUGCGCAGGCGGUUUUGUAAGUCUGUCGUGAAAUCCCCGGGCUCAACCUGGGAAUUGCGAUGGAGACUGCAAGGCUAGAAUCUGGCAGAGGGGGGUAGAAUUCCACGUGUAGCAGUGAAAUGCGUAGAGAUGUGGAGGAACACCGAUGGCGAAGGCAGCCCCCUGGGUCAAGAUUGACGCUCAUGCACGAAAGCGUGGGGAGCAAACAGGA